Melospiza melodia melodia is the source of this 444-nucleotide long non-coding RNA. RefSeq lists it as uncharacterized. Lineage: Eukaryota; Metazoa; Chordata; Aves; Passeriformes; Passerellidae. The record is from RefSeq and is a predicted model, not a curated record. The transcript has 3 exons.
CUUGUGCAGUCACCUGUGCCUUGCCCCCUCCCACUCUGAAGCUUUUGCUGAAGCUCCCUUAGUUCAGGCCUUCUUCUCAUUUGCAGUCAUUUACCUAUAAGAGUCGGCCAGCAAAGAAGAGAGGUUUUCAAGGACUCUACAGCCAAGGAAGAGUAGGUGGAGAGGUUGGAUGGAAGAGAUGAAAAAGCCAGAGGAGGCAGUAAGGUACAAUGGGGUGUGCCCACAGCUUUGCAAGUACUGCAGUGGCUAACUGCAAUUUACAGGAAGAGCCUUUAAGAAGCAAGAAAGGAAGGAAAACAUUACAGGACUUUCUGCUGCCCUCCUCAGAGAGUGUAUGAACAUAUACUGAAGCAUCCAACAACUGCAUGGAAUAUGUGAGAAAAUAUAUCUUCAAUGAAGUCCCAAAGUCCUGUCUCAUAUUUCUUCCCUGGCAUGGAUCUGAAG